This 777-nucleotide ribosomal RNA is filed under the name Cyphellophora europaea. RNAcentral's name for it is "SSU rRNA". It matches the Rfam family "Bacterial small subunit ribosomal RNA", at positions 370 to 1209 of the family's 1533-position model. Lineage: Eukaryota; Fungi; Ascomycota; Eurotiomycetes; Chaetothyriales; Cyphellophoraceae. The record is from RNAcentral.
AAUAGCCUAACGGCUGAACCAGCAACUUGGAAGAAUGUAUAACUAUUUAAGUAUAAAAUUCUAUAUAUAAACUGAUAAUGACAAUUUAUAUAUAUUAGUAUUGACCAAAUUACGUGCCAGCAGUCGCGGUAAUACGUAGAAUACAAGUGUUAUUCAUCUUUAUUGGGUUUAAAGGGUACCUAGACGGAAAAUCAAGCCUAAACAAGUGGGAACUAAUUUUCUAGAGUUUUAUGGGUGAAUGGGGAACCAUUGGAGUAAAGUCAACAUUUUUUGAUACCAAUGAGACGGGUGACGGUGUAGACGCCAUUCUAUGUAAAAACUGACGUUGAGGGACGAAGCCUUGGGUAGCGAUAAGGAUUAGAUACCCUAGUAGUCCUUGGAGAAAAUUAUGAGUGUCAUAGGCUAGAUAAACUAGUUUAUAAAUGAAAGUGUAAGCACUCCACCUCAUGAGUAAAGCGGCAACGCCGAAAUUGAAAUCAUUAGACCGUGUCUGAAACCAGUAGUGAAGUAUGUUAUUUAAUUCGAUGAUCCGCGAAUAAUCUUACCACGUUUUGAAUACAUAAAGGUUCAUACAAGCGCUGCACGGCUGUCUUCAGUUAAUGUCGUGAGAUUUUGGUUUGUUCCUUUAAUUAACGAAAGCCCUUGCAUUAUUUACAAUUAAUAAUUAAUAUUAUUAUAAUAAAUGUAUUUUACAUUUGUUUAAUACAAUAAUGUACUUCGCCAUUAUAACGGUAUGAAUAGUAGGGAUUAAGACAAGUCAUCAUGGCCUUAAUAACG